UAGGCCUACGGGGGGCAGCAGUGGGGAAUAUUGCACAAUGGGGGAAACCCUGAUGCAGCGACGCCGCGUGAGUGAAGAAGUAUUUCGGUAUGUAAAGCUCUAUCAGCAGGGAAGAAAAUGACGGUACCUGACUAAGAAGCCCCGGCUAACUACGUGCCAGCAGCCGCGGUAAUACGUAGGGGGCAAGCGUUAUCCGGAUUUACUGGGUGUAAAGGGAGCGUAGACGGCAGCGCAAGUCUGAAGUGAAAUCCCAUGGCU
RNAcentral lists this ribosomal RNA (258 nucleotides) under uncultured bacterium. RNAcentral describes it as "partial 16S ribosomal RNA". It matches the Rfam family "Bacterial small subunit ribosomal RNA", at positions 334 to 609 of the family's 1533-position model. The record is from RNAcentral.